This 1398-nucleotide long non-coding RNA is filed under the name Sorghum bicolor (sorghum). Its description in RNAcentral is "long non-coding RNA (SBIC_LNC013042)". The record is from RNAcentral. Lineage: Eukaryota; Viridiplantae; Streptophyta; Magnoliopsida; Poales; Poaceae.
UAGCCAUACCCUUGCAAAAAUACAUUUGUUGUGUUGUCUUUGUACCUCACCAAUGAAUAUUAGCAUGACUUUUAUGUUCUUUUUUUGGCAUCUCUCUAGAUUGCAUGGUUCAACUAGGGCUGGUAUGGCCAUGCUCUGUCCAUGCCUUCAUGCUGUGGUGAUGUAUGCCGGAUUGAAGUUUGAGUGCACACAACUACUGUUAGUUCCAUUUGUUGUUCCUUUGUAAUCCUACGAUUCUCGGAUCUUUAGGUUCCAGACAACCACAUCAGCUCAACUUAAAUUUAAGAGUUAUCUAUUGCUCCUCUGUUUCAGUUAUCUUUUAAUGGACAUAUAUUCACAUAAUUUGCAUUGAACGGAGAUUAUUUUCAACCACUAUGAUAUCUGGUUCCAAUGUAUAGUUAAUUCGUACUCAUGCUGCUUUGAUUUUGGUCUGAAUAUUUUUUAACUUUCCUCAUGCACAGGUUAUCCUUCAGGGUUUGGUAUCUCUCAAUUUUUGUUCUGUACUUCUACUAUUACCAUCAUUUGAGUCUCCACUCCGUGAUAGAUUUUUUACAUGCAUGUUCACUGCGCCACCUUGUGCAUAAUCUAGGCAUUCUCUCUUUCUCUUGAUCUUUUCUAUGUUUCCAUCUCUUUUUGCCGGUUGCUUGCUAAAUUUGGUGCUGUGAAAUUUUUACCCCCCACAAAUAUCUUUAAUUAAUACUACGUUUUUUUCUUUUCCUUAAUGAUUUUAGGGACCAGGUACAUACUUCUACAUCCAUCCAUGCUUUUUGGGACCAGGUACACACUGCCACAUCCAUGUGGUCAACAUUUAUUUAGUUCAUAUGCACUCGGCUAAUAUUACCUCUUUGCUCAGGUUUUUGUUUCUUUCAACAGUCUACGGUGGCCAACACGGUAUUCACCUUAACAUCUUGCGAGUUAGGAGGAUGCGUGUUCAAAUCUCCAGAAUCAUCAAGUAUUGAUAUCAGAAAUUACAAAAAUAGAUGUCCUCUCUUUUGGCCUAUACUAUCAGCCCAACACAAAAACCAAACAUGGACUAUUGUGUUCCAUACUUAUUCUCCAUGACAACAAUGCUAUCACACCAUGAACCAAGCUAAGGUCAUCUGUCGUUUCACGCCAGGGCGCGCGCCCUCAACUAGUGUACAAGAUGGUGGCAGCUAGCCCUGAGUAGUCUCAUCCUGGUGGCUGGUGCAUCUGGUCCUCUACAUGCGUACACGUCCUAGGCGAUGUACUCCACAAGCAAUUUCUCAAGUACUCCAUCUAGAAACAAUAAAACUUUAAUUUUAUUCUAAGUCAAACCAUUUUAAGACUCACCAAGUUUAUAGAAAAACUGUAAUAUUUAUUCAUGACACCACAGUAUUAUACAAAAAAAAAACAAAUUUAAUAGACAACUCUAGGGAC